GUUCCUUCUCUGGAAGCUGAGGCUUCCAUCGAGUCUUAACUAGUAGACAGUGGUAGAGCCUUCCUCAGAGGCUGCAAGGUGGGAGGCCAGGGAAGAUUGUCUGAUCCCAAUCAUUUUCUCUGAUGUACAUAUUGUUGGGUGGAUUAGGUGUUACUAUCAGCCAGAACCAACAGGACAACAUAGAAAGUAGGGGUGGGGACGUGAGAAAUAGCAGCCAGCUGAGAACUAGAGGUUGCUUGGUCACUCAGAGUUCUGCCCCAGGCCAGGGGGUGGAGCUUCCUUUUCUGUUUGUUUCUUCAUCACUGACAGGGCAUUUCUAGCAGAGUUCCUGGACAAGUUUAUUCAAGGGCUGAGAAAGUAGGAUUACCCCACUCCCAUGUACUGAUGAAGCUGGAGUGUGACAUUUCUUCCAGUUCGCCCAAGGACGGGAAGGGUCACCGUAGCUACCAGAAUAUUCUUGGAGGAAGUGGACCGACUCUCAGAUCCUUAUAUCAUAUGCUGUGGCAACAUGCCACAGAGGAGAGGGCAGCAGUAAGGAUCUGUUUUUCAUUUAAUGGUCUUUCUCAAAGAACUUCUGAGAAAUCGGAUAACUCCUUUCUCCAGAGAGACGCAAAGAGGAUGCGAAGCAAAGGAGAGGCAGAGGUUGAGCGUCAAGCCUUGCUCCAAAGCCAGAUGUUCUGUCUCCGAUCCCUCAUGGCUUCUUGGUUAAUGGACCUCAGUUUCUUGUAG
This 729-nucleotide long non-coding RNA is filed under the name Ursus maritimus (polar bear). RNAcentral describes it as "lncRNA (ENSUMAG00000020468.1)". Lineage: Eukaryota; Metazoa; Chordata; Mammalia; Carnivora; Ursidae. The record is from RNAcentral.